RNAcentral lists this ribosomal RNA (651 nucleotides) under Triticum aestivum (bread wheat). RNAcentral's name for it is "partial small subunit ribosomal RNA". Lineage: Eukaryota; Viridiplantae; Streptophyta; Magnoliopsida; Poales; Poaceae. The record is from RNAcentral.
AUGCGUGAUCAGGUCGGCAUCGACCUGGACGGCUUCCCCCUCGACCACGAGUUCCCGAAGGACUAUGGGCUAGAGGAAGAGGACGAGUGCGACAUCGAAGUGGAGCCUUUGUUCGAGGACGAGCUCGCCAAACAAACCGCCGGUCCUAAGCCGAAGCGCAAGAGCAAGCGCACGAAGGCGUACACAGCUGCCGAGGACAAGCUUCUUUGCGAGUGUUGGUGAGACAUUGUACAAGACCCAAAGACGGGCGCCGAGCAAAAGCAUUCGACCUUUUGGACUCGUGUGCACCGCGGGUUUCAAGCCGCCCUCUUUUGUGCCAUCAAGAUCAUUCUUUUACGUCUUCAUUUGCUAUCACUUGCCCAUAUGCUUGCAUGGAAACAUUUUGUAGGCAUUUCAAGCUUUGGAGAUAUUCAAGGUUCAACACAAUGGCAAGUGCUUCAACCUCUCCCAUUGCUAUCGGGUCAUCAAGGACGAAGAGAAGUUCAAGGCACAAUAUGCCGCGCUCAAGGCACGUGGGGGGAAGGGCGCCGUGGAGGAUGUUGGGGAGGGCGAGCCGGCACGGCCGCGGGGGAAGACCAACUCCAAGAAGGAGGACAAGCGAGAUGCGGCCACCAACGCCUUGAUCGCAAGCGUGGACGGCAUGAUGAAUAA